UACGGGGGGAGCAAGCGUUGUUCGGAAUUACUGGGCGUAAAGCGCGCGUAGGCGGCUUUGUAAGUUAGAGGUGAAAGCCCGGAGCUCAACUCCGGAACUGCCUUUAAAACUGCAUCGCUUGAAUCCAGGAGAGGUGAGUGGAAUUCCGAGUGUAGAGGUGAAAUUCGUAGAUAUUCGGAAGAACACCAGUGGCGAAGGCGACUUACCGGACACAUAUUGACGCUGAGGUGCGAAAGCGUGGGGAGCAAACAGG
This 253-nucleotide ribosomal RNA is filed under the name uncultured bacterium. RNAcentral's name for it is "partial 16S ribosomal RNA". It matches the Rfam family "Bacterial small subunit ribosomal RNA", at positions 524 to 776 of the family's 1533-position model. The record is from RNAcentral.